This 91-nucleotide transfer RNA is filed under the name Acidobacteriota bacterium. Its description in RNAcentral is "tRNA-Ser". It matches the Rfam family "tRNA". Rfam says of the family: Transfer RNA (tRNA) molecules are approximately 80 nucleotides in length. Their secondary structure includes four short double-helical elements and three loops (D, anti-codon, and T loops). The record is from RNAcentral. Lineage: Bacteria; Pseudomonadati; Acidobacteriota.
GGAAAGGUUGACGGAAUCAGGUAACGUGCCGGUCCGCUAAACCGAGGCUGCGAUCAUUCGCAUGCGCGUUCGAAUCGCGCACUUUCCGCCA